This 565-nucleotide ribosomal RNA is filed under the name uncultured bacterium. Its description in RNAcentral is "bacterial SSU rRNA". It matches the Rfam family "Bacterial small subunit ribosomal RNA", at positions 772 to 1311 of the family's 1533-position model. The record is from RNAcentral.
ACUCAAUAGAUACCCCGGUAGUCCUGGCCCUAAACGUUGGGUACUAGAUAGUAGCCUUCACAUGGGGUUACUGUCGAAAGCAAAAAAAGUGCUAAGUACCCCGCCUGGGGAGUAUGGUCGCAAAGCUGAAACUCAAAGGAAUUGACGGGGGCUCACACAAGCGGUGGAGCAUGUGGCUUAAUUCGAGGCUACGCGAAGAACCUUAUCCUAGACUUGACAUGUGCGAAAGCGUAGGGAGGUAGAACCCGGAAACGGGAACGAACGGUAUCCAAUCCGGAACCCUAUACAGGUGCUGCAUGGCUGUCGUCAGCUCGUGUCGUGAGAUGUCGGGUUAAAGUCCCAUAACGAGCGAAACCCUUACCCUUAGUUGCUACUAUUAAGUUAGAGGACUCUAGGGGGACUGCCGGUGUCAAACCGGAGGAAGGCGGGGAUGACGUCAAGUCCUCAUGGCCUUUACGUCUAGGGCUGCGCACGUGCUACAAUGGCGUGAACAAAGGGGAAGCAAGAGCGCAAGCUGGAGCAAACUCCCAAAAAACCACGCCCAGUUCAGAUUGAGGGCUGCAAC